GUCUGGGUGCCUAUAGUGGUCCUUUAAAUGUAAAAAAAAAUUAACUUAUAGUACACACCAAGACUACCCUGUAUUGCAGUAUAUCCAAUUCAUUGUUUGUUGUGACCCUAAACAGAGUAUAUUUAGCACUUAAGGCCUCUUGAUUAUCAUAUACCCCAACCAUAUGGAAUGUUAUAACAUGCCCAUGGGUCAAAAAAAUUUGUAUAUUCCACAGUGGCACAAUUACAGAGGCUGUUCCACUUGUUCAGCUAGAAAACAUUGGAUCUCUCGCCAAUCCGAAAAACCCUACAUACUUAGGAAUAUGUAACUACUUCCACAUUUUUGCCUACGUUUAGAUCUGUUAAUGUUGCUACAAACUAACCAUCAUUUUAGAUCUAAAGUGGGGUUGGGUGGUAUUCCUUAAAUUUCACUUAACUCCUACCCCUAAGGAAUUUGAGUCAACAAUAAAUACAUUUUGAGAAGAUGUAAUCUAUAUUUUAUGGCAAUGUCAGUGUGUCAAGGAGAAAAAAAGUAUCAUGAAGUUUUUCUUCCUCAUCUGUUCAGCAAGAUGCCUGCUUAGCUUUAUGGACUAUGCACAAACUAAACUCUAGCCACUAAAAACGCCUUAAAAUAUGCAGUUCCUAUUUAUUUUACAAAAUGUAGAGAAAAAAAAUUAGAUUAGGGCAUGUUUAAUUUCUAUAGGUUCAUUUUAGUCUUUUUGUAGCUUUAACAAUUACAAGAAAAGAGUAAUAAAGUAAACUUCACUUGUUAAAUUCUUAAUGAUGUAUGGCAUGCCAUUUGGUGGCCUCAUUUUUGAAUCGUAUGUAAUAAGAGAUCCUACCUUGCGUCAAAUGCCACAUUCUAAAAUAUCCAAACGCUUUGGAAAAAUGUAAACUUAUUAUUUUGAGUUGAAAACUAAACCUUUAUUCAAUUCAAAUUCUGCAUUUUAGAAUGCAAUGAUUCAUGUUGUAUUGAUGCAAACAUUGCUAAUCUCACAGUUUUAGACUUAUCCUUCCAUGACUGGACAAACACAAAAAAGGUUAAAAAGUUAGGUUUCCAACUGGAAUCCUCUUCUGGGCCCAUCUUGAAACAUGCCUCUUGUAGACAUUGGGGUGUAUAUGUUGUGCUUUCAAAAAUAUUCAGACCUAUGGCCAUUACUGGAAUCAGAACAGAAAGCAGAAUUAACUAUAUUCCGAUUCUCAUGCACAAUCUUAUUUAACAAUAUACACAGUUGAAAGAAAGUGCCUUAAAGUGGACACAGCUAAUCUACCAUUGGCUUCCCCUUUCUGAAGCAUUAACACCAAUGCAAUAUUUUCAGGAUAACCCCAACUGUUCAAGGAUUAUUGGCCAUUUGGACCUGAGGAAAGACCAAUACCAAAGAGCAUUCUACAGAGGUAACAGUUAUGCAUAGUUGAGCAAAAAAAAGUGCAAAAUAAUGUAAGUAGAUAUCACAAAACAUGUUUUUAAUCCAUAAUUGUGCUCAUAUGAUCCAGACACUACCUUGAAAAUGCUAUCUUUCAAUGUUCAGUGUCUGUGAGUGGAGCAAUGGUGGUACAGUUGACUAUACCAUAAAUGAGGUAUACCUCUGGUCUGUGCAGAGAGCAGGGGAAGAAAGAAACCGUUACUUGAAAAGUACCAUUUGAUAGCCAGUCUGGCGUCUACCAGAAAAGCAUUUUCUGUGCUGAGCAGUGAUGUGAGAGAGGGUUUUUUUUAUUUUUUUAUUUAGGUGACACAAUGAUUUAGGAGCCUUUCCGCCAAACUCACACCAAGUAGUGUGGAAUGAAGACUGCCCACACUACAAACUAUGGUGAAAUGUGUAAUUGUGCUUUGGGUACCUCCACUGAGGUGUAUAAAUAGACUGAAAUACAGAAUAUUAUGCAAGAGAACUGGACGCAGUACACAAAGAGCUAGUACUGUUAUUCCAAGAAUAAUAAAGGUGAAUGUCCUACUGUGGUUUAGUGAAGUCUAGAUCUCAAUUUCUCCUUUGCUUAUAGAUCACCGUUUUUCGAUAGUGCUGGAAAUCCACAAAGUAUUUGAGGAAAUAUGAGCAGGUCAAAUGGACCGAAUUCAUCUUCCACUGGCCCAAGUUUUUAUAUUCACCCAAGCCGAAAAAGCUGUGACUGAUUGCUCAAAAAAUGUUAGUUCUUCCUAUGUCUGUGAUAGACGUGUUGAAAUAUUGAGAAAAUUCUGAGCAUUGAUUAUGACUCUGUAUACUUUUGCAAAGUGUGUUUAGCAGUGAUCAUCUCCUGCUGUUUCCAAUUGCACUCUGUAAUGUAUACGUAGUAAAUAGACUGUUGUAGUCACUUUUCCUUGAAAACAGGAGUGCAGUAUAAUUUAUCAAGGUGCAUAAGUGUUAGACGCUGGUGCACAAUAGAAAGCAAAUGUUUCUGCUAUAAAUUCUUUUGUCGCCAACAGUCUGCCUUAAAUCAGAUUAAAGAAAAUCUUGCUUGUGUGUAAAUGAACUUUGUUUUAUUUUGGAAGCAUGAAGCAAUUAGAAUUCAGAAUCAAAGUCAGAUAAACCCUUCUGCUCAGUAACAGACUAUUCAACAUUUUUCGAUUUAAAAUGUAGGCAACCUCUGCAGCAUGUCACUACAAUGCCUAAAUAUGGGACCAAAGAAAAACCUUCUGUGCUGGAAGCAUUUUAGAAAUAAAGGAGUAUGCUGAAGUACAUUCUAAAAAGGUCUGAGACAUUGGAUUUAAAACACUACAUCCCGUAUGACACGUUGCCUACCUUUUUGGUGUUACAACUGCCAGAUCGUCAUGGGAAAAAUUUUCCACAGCUGGAAUGCUAAUGGGUUGUUUUACCUGUAUUGAGCAAGAGCAGAUUUCUCCUCUAUGGAACAAUGUAAAGAAUAUGACUAAUUAUAAAAGUUAAAGAAAAGCUUUCUUGUGGGUGAAACAGUCAUGUAAUAGUAGCUGAAAAUGACUUCCAAUUUUUUUUUCCUACUAAUAUAAAACUGACUUUUUUCUAAAAUUGCUAGAUUGUAUUGCAGUGCUGGAUUUACGUCUUGAUAUCCCAUAAGUUUAAAAAAAAUAAAAAUCUGUAUCAUAUCUGUAGAAUAUGGGCAGACCGUGCAGCAUAGUCGAAAAUGGAAAAGGGUUUUGACAACCGCUCACAUCCAUGUAAGCAGCACCCUAAAUUGGUUCUCUAGCAAAUGCCUAGAAUGCCACCCCGACCAAAAAAAAGUUUCGUAUAAUACUCUUGUUGACUGUGUUGGAGUUUCACUAAAUGCCAAACCAGUCAGAAGAUAUACUGAGACAAAAUGGGGACUACUUUAUCUCACCAUUUUUUUUUACGGCUGACACUUCUAGGGCAGUGCUCCCACAGUCUAGAAUUGUCAUUCUCCCUGUUAUCACCAGACAGCUGCAGAUAAAGAGUAAAGCGGAUUGCCCCACCACCACAGACGAUGCCACUAUUGAUGGUCUUUGCAAAUUAUGCAAAGUCCACAGACUGUGACAGUGCAAUUUUAGGUAGCUUUUAAAAUACCAAGUAGAAUUUUAGAAAUCCAUUCACUACUGGAAAACUAGUGGCUUGGUGUGCAUUUAAUACCAUGUUCUGUACAAUCCUUAAAGGGACAUCUCAGCAGCCAUGCAUUUAAUUUUUUUAUUUUUAUUUUCCUUGCAGCUAGGCUGUCAUGUAAGUUGUUUUAUAUAUCUGGUUAUACAUCAGUUAUGGUAUCUGUUUUAUAACCUGGCAAAGGCAAUUUUAUGCAUGGCUUCCAGGGCCGUAACUCCUAGGAUUACCGGACAUUUAAAUGCACAUUGACGUGGUUUUUUGUGGCAAAUGUGCCUUUAAGCAUGUGGGUAAACUUGAACAGCUGCUGUACCACAAUGUGUUUCUAACCAAAUAUGUAGGGACUACUGAUAUAUAUUGCUUUAUUUAAGGGGUAACAAGUUGUCAGACACUGUUUAAAUCUGUGGCCGCUUGCUCUGGUAUUCUGGAUGUUUCAUUUUCCAUAAUGCUUUGCUGGUCUCAUGGAUAAAGUCACUUCCUAGAACUAAUUAAUAUUGUGUUUAACAAAUGUGAAACAUGUUGAAUACCACACCACCUGAAAUUGGGUUCCACUAUCUCCUCGUUUGUCAUUAUUACAGACUGUUAUUUUCACCUACAGAGAAGAGAGAAAAAUGAAACUAUGUUUCAAAUUUUCCUUCUCCUUUGCAAUGCUUGACCGGCUGUGGCCUGGCCUGAUCAGAAUGUUGAUUUCCUUGUCGAAUAUAAAUGUAAAAGAGGGUCGAACAUUACAUGAAAUAAAAGUAAACAAAGGUUAUAGAUUUUCAAUUUUAUUUAUUGAAUCUUGUAAUUUCAUGGGAAAUAGUCUUUGGUGGUUUUUUUUUUUUUUUGUAAUUGUAGUCCUCCCAAAAAUAUAUUACUCUAAUUACGCUUGGCAGAACAUCUGGUAUGUCUAGGCUAGGUUGCUGGUCUAAAUGUCCUCUUUUUUUUCUUAUUUUUUAAUAUAUAUAUAUUAUCCAUUCAUUUAUUGGAUGAAGGUUACUGCUUUUCAUUAUAAGCUGAAAUGAAUGAAUACAAAGUGUUUGGUAGAUCCAUCUUCCCAAAUUUCCAAAUAAUCUGGCAUUUUUUUUUUUAUGUAUCUAAUACUUUUUUGGGGGUUGUAAAUUUUCAGGUUGAAUUCAACUCACAAUGAUGAAUGUUACUGAAGCCAGCUUAUUUGUGAAUUACUUUCUCUGGCUCGUUACACAACUUUCUCGGUUAUGAAAAAUAUGCAUUUUUUAAAAUUUUUAUUUAUUUUUAAAUGACUAUUGGUGUGAAGCUGUCUAGCCCUAGUUAUAUUAAACACUGGUCUGCUAUCCUUUUUAACCUAGCUCACCACCAUAUUUAAAUGGUGGGUGUUUAUUUCGGUUAAAUUUCAAACACUACUUACAUUAUCGUUUACAUGGAAAAGCUAUUUACUGAAUUGUCACACAAUUCCAAGCUCCUGGAAAGAUAGAUGAGCUUGAAGUACACUGUGAAGUGCUGCGUUGAUAGAAUCUGCCCCAAGGGAACCAAAGGGUUGAGUUUGAAUACUAGUGGGGAAAAAAGGGGUUUAAAAAAUAAAUAAAAAUGAAGCUGCUAGGCUUUAUCAACUGUGAAAAAUAGUGUGUAUAUGUAGGCUUUUAAAACAAUGUUUUCCAUAUUAUUCCAGUGCUUUUUCUUUUCAUGGCCUACAUUUUAAAAUCAAAAUGUCAAACCUGAUUUACAAAACCUGGAAGAUUUGUGUAUCAAGAAUAGCCAAGAGAUAGAGCCUCUAGCUGUUGAACUCCCCCCUCAUUUCUGAUCUUUUCUUGCUGCAAGCUGCCAAAGACUUGUGGUUGAUGUAGUUACAGAACAUUUGGAGACCUGCUUCUUGUUUAAAUGGAGUUAAUUUGGGUCUUUGUUGCUUUAAAAUUCAGCAAAUUUUUAUUUAGAAUUUUUCAUGUUCAUGUCCUUAAAACUGUUUAGCAGUAUCUAUGGUGGUAACUUGUAUAUGAAAUUCUUUAGCUUAAGGCUAGAAUUUGACACUAGCCUUGACAUAUGUCUUGCCCAGUAGCAUCACAUUACAUACUAGAUGCUGAAACACCCUCCAUUAAGGUUUCUUUGCAUUGUAAAUUAGACCACAUGAACACAGUUUGCCAGUGCUCUGUAACGAUCACACCAUUCUGAGAAGAGGUUUGUGUUAGACCUGUUACUACUCAAAAAAACCACUUGAAUAUAAUGAUCACAACGAAGUUUGGAGUUGAAUGUUCUAAAUGAAAAUGUAAUACUUUCUAUGUACACUGGCUAAAAGUUAAUGCUAUACUACUGUAACUAAGUGUAAUUUCUGUACGAAUGUUGCUUGUUAGUGUGGGUUGAGUAGACCUGUAUGAGUGAACCCACUGCCGUCACUGGCUGCGCCCUUCAACCUUCUGAAAAGACAAAGCCUUAAGUAUUUGCCUCUUCUUAAGAGUCUUUCAAUGCUUUUAUUUUCCUUGUUUUAUAUUUGCAGACCUAUCAUUUUUAUUCAGUUGUAAUCCUCUAGUUGAUUCCAGUACUUGCACGCAUGGUAAUAGAUACAAGCUACUCUCCCCUCUAUGGACUAUGAAAGUCUUGUAUGGACCCUCACGUCAGACUUUUUGUUUUUAGAGUGUUGAAAGCAGCAUCAUAAUCUGUCUUUUAAAUUUAGGUGGAAUAAGAGAAAUUGCUUCAAUGACCUUGUUCGAAUGGAGAUAUUUUUUGCUGUUUUAGACACCUAACACAAUGUUAGCAGCUGCUAUGUUAACAUUCGUAGAUCAUCAUAGAAGCUAUUAUUGAUCAAAAUGAAGGUCUUCAGACCUACGACAGAUAUAGAAACCAUCUAAAUUCUAGCAUUGCUGCUUUCUUCUCCUUUUGAUUGUAUUAUGUCCUUUAGGCUUCCACCAUGGUUGAUUAGAGCUAGUUGCAAAUCCAGAACCUGCCUUUUAAUGUCUUGAUACCUGAAGGUUCAUCAUAAAAAUCAGCUGAGAUUUGCAACUCAUUUAACAUUAAUCAUUAGUCAUCACACUCUAAAAAAUUAGUGAUCUAAGCAUAGUCACACACUUUAGCAAUGAAGAGAAACUAACUAUGAAGGCCAGUCCUCAAAACCACUUCAAAUUAAAAAUAAGAUUUAAAGCUCAAUUUUUUUUUUUAAUUUUUGUUUUUUAGCAUGUUUUAGAAAGCUUAAAACCUCCUUAAAGGAAAUGUUCACAAGCUUUUGAAGUGGCGUCCCUGGUGGGUACAAAAUGGGGGGAGACAAGAUCUAUAUUAAUGUGUGUCUCAAAACUGAAAAUAAUUGGAGGGUUAUUUGUGGAGAAUUGACUUUAGACUUGCAAAUUGUAGGCCAAAAUAGCAGAGAUGUUUGGGGUUUUUUUUUUUUUUUUUGAGGGGGAGGGGGGAGUUUUGUGUCCCUUUCUCCCCACCCCCAAUUUCCUCCCUUUUAUUUUCUUUUAGAAUCUUUUAUAUUUGUAAUUUUCUUGACAAUUCUCCACAAUUCUGAUAGUGAAACUCUUCAUUUGUGUUUUCUAAGAUUUUAAUUUCCAUUUUUGCUUGAGAGAUUCUAGUUUCGCAAAAAGCAAUGUGGUUCCCUUUAUUUAAUUAGCCUGUUUAAAUUGUGUUUUGUGUCUGCUUCCUCUGUGUCAGCGAUCUGCUCCGUCGAUUGGUCUCUGUCAUGGAAGAGGGUGACAGCAUGUAUAGCACAGUUAGAACACUUUGAACUAAAACACAUGCUGGCUGGUAAUGCCUUAUAUUUAAAGAAAACACAAGAAAUGUGAACACACCUAUGUUCUGCCAAAUAACAUCGAGAUCAUGUUCUAAUUUAUUUCCAUUUUAUUUCCUGUGUCAUAAGUAGUCCCUAUUUCUAGUGCUGGAAAACAGUUGAGACUGAGGCUUUUUCAUGUCAUGCAAUAUUUCCUGAACAUGUUACCUCCUGGAAGCCACGGUUUCUUCCCACUUUCAUUCCAUCCUUUUGCCUGGGCCCUGACUUUUAAAGUGAUAUCCUGCUAUGUUGGAUCCUGUAAGCUGUAUUUUACCAUCCAAAUACAAUUUGCCUCCUCUAAUAAAACAUUGGAUUCCUCGCCUCUCGUCUUGUUGGCGUGCUGCCGAGGUCAACUUGGUUUGUGGUGUGUGCAUUUUAUUUUGUGUUAUAAAUGGCUUCUCAAUGAAAAAUAUUUCUAUAUUCUGAUUUUAGCACAUUCUUUUGUACCUGAUUUUUCACUAUUGUUCCCCACUGUAUAGCUGUCAUCUUUCGAUAAUCAUGUAUUCGGUUCACAGAAAUACAGUGUUAACUAACACACCGUACACAAUAAUUGUGGUUCAACUCUUCAUACAGGUUGGGUUUUUAUUUUCCCGUAAUGCAAAAUUAAAAACUUUGUAGCAAAAUGACAAGAAUUUUUUUACUAAUCAUCUGGACCUAUUAGUACAACUCUGUUUUUGACAGAAGAAAAAGCAAUAUUUAACAGGA
Non-coding RNA from Pelobates cultripes (western spadefoot toad), 7907 nucleotides. NCBI's taxonomy places the organism in Eukaryota, Metazoa, Chordata, Amphibia, Anura, Pelobatidae. The record is from the annotation of a GenBank genome assembly.